RNAcentral lists this ribosomal RNA (2894 nucleotides) under marine metagenome. Its description in RNAcentral is "bacterial LSU rRNA". It matches the Rfam family "Bacterial large subunit ribosomal RNA". The record is from RNAcentral.
GGGAAUGCCACGUUGUCGAUUGCUGAAUACAUAGGUAAUCGUCGGGCACCCAGGGAAGUGAAACAUCUCAGUACCUGGUGGAAAAGAAAACAAUUACUGAUGCUUCGCAUUGGAACCGACAAGUUUACUUGUCACUCCAAUGCAAUGCAUCAGACCAUUCUCUUAGUAGCGGCGAGCGAACGGGGAACAGCCCAAACUUCAUGUGUGAAGGUAUUGCAAAACAAUCGUCUUCGGAUGGUUGCUAGUAGUACUGAAAGGUAAGGACCCUUGCACAUGGGGUGUUGUAGGAUACUUCUAGACGCAUCCUUAUAGGCGUCGAUGGGAGUGUAAAUAUAUAGGAAAAUCUUCUGGAAAGAAGAACCAAAGAAGGUGAUAGUCCUGUAUUCGAAAUGUAUUUACUACCAUGAAGAUAUUCCUGAGUACCGCGGGACACGUGAAAUCCUGUGGGAAUCUACCGCGACUAUGCGGUAAGGCUAAAUACACAUAUUGAUCGAUAGUGAACAAGUACCGUGAGGGAAAGCUGAAAAGUACCCCGAGAGGGGAUUGAAAUAGUAUCUGAAACCGUAUGCCUACAGGGAGUUAGAGCCGAACGAUUUAUCGUGUCGGUGAUAGCGUUCCUAUUGAAGAAUGAGCCAACGAGUGUGUAAACGUUGCAGGUUAAGCUCGAUAGAGCGGAGCCAUAGUGAAAGCGAGCGUUAAUAGCGCGAAUUUGUCACGUUUACACGACCCGAAACCGAGUGACCUAACCUUGGGCAGGUUGAAGCGGCCGUAACAAGCCGUGGAGGACCGAACCAAUACGUCGUGCAACACGUUUGGAUGACCUGAGGUUAGCGGAGAAAUUCCAAUCGAACUCGGUAAUAGCUGGUUCUCUCCGAAACAGUUUUAGGACUGGCGGUGGUUAACAGUCUGUGGGGGGUAGAGCACUGAUUGGGUUUGGAGCCUUCGGGUAUCCGGCCCAGCCAAACUCCGAAUACUCACAGAUAUUCCCACCAGUUAGACCAUGGGGGCGAAGCUCCAUCGGUCAAAAGGGGAACAGCCCAGAUCUCAAGCUAAGGUCCCUAAAUUAUCACUAAGUGUAAAAGGUGGUGACAUGACUUAUACAACCAGGAGGUUGGCUUAGAAGCAGCCAUCCUUUAAAGAAAGCGUAAUAGCUCACUGGUCAAGUUGCGUUGCGCCGAAAAUGUACCGGGGCUCAAGUGAUAUACCGAAGCUGAGGGCUCGCGUUUAACGACGUGAGCGGUAGGAGAGCAUUCCAUUCGCGUUGAAGCACAAGGGGUGACCCAAUGUGGAGCGUAUGGAAGAGAGAAUGUUGGCAUGAGUAGCAAAAAAACGGGUGAGAACCCCGUUCACCGAAAGACCAAGGUUUCCUGGGCAACGUAAAUCGACCCAGGGUUAGUCGGGUGCUAAGACGAGGCCGAAAGGCGUAGCCGAUGCACAGCAGGUUAAUAUUCCUGCACUAUCUAUAUGACUGAUGGAGUGACGGUUUCUUAAACCUCCCGCGCCCUAUGGCUAUGGCGUUGGGCAGUCGUUCUCGUGAAAUAGGCAAAUCCGUUUCACACAAGAGCGUGGCUGAUCGCGAGUCCAAUUUAUUGGACAAGGGGAGAGGCAAGAGAUCCUAGAAAAGCUUCUAAGAUUAUUAUAUAGAUACCCGUACCGCAAACCGACACAGGUGGUUGGGUUGAGCAUACUAAGGUGUACGAGAGAAACUUCCUUAAGGAACUAGGCAAAACAGCGGCCGUAACUUCGGGAUAAGGCCUGCUUUCCAUCGUUGAGAUGGAGAGCCGCAGCGAAAGAUCUCAAGCGACUGUUUACCAAAAACACAGGUCUCUGCUAAACCGUAAGGUGAAGUAUAGGGGCUGAUGCCUGGCCAGUGUCCGAACGUUAAAGAAGAGGGUUAGCCUUCGGGUGAAGCUUUCGACUGAAGCGCGGAUGAACGCCGGCGGUAACUAUAACCGUCCUAAGGUAGCGAAAUUCCUUGUCGGGUGAGUUCCGACCCGCACGAAUGGCAUAACGAUUUGAGAACUGUCUCAAGGAAGUACUCGGCGAAAUUGCAGUACGAGUGAAGAUGCUCGUUUUCCCGCAGCCGGACGAAAAGACCCCGUGAAGCUUUACUACAGCUUGCUAUUGGGUUUAUGACUCACAUGUUCAGUAUAGGUGGGAGCCGCAAGGCGCCAGUGAGAUACCACCCUUGUGUUUUGUGAAUCCUAAUCGAAUGCCAUGAAUCUGGUGUUUGAGACAUUAGCUGGUGGGUAGUUUGACUGGGGCGGUCGCCUCCCAAAGAGUAACGGAGGCGUUUACUAAGGUUGGCUUAGCCCGGAUGGACAUCGGGCGGAAAGUGCAAACGCAAAAGCCAGCUUUACUGCAAGACGCACAUGUCGCGCAGUUACGAAAGUAGAAGUUAGUGAUCCGACCGUUCGAUAUAGGACGGCGGAAGCUCAACGGAUAAAAGCUACUCCGGGGAUAACAGGCUGAUCCCUCCCAAGAGUCCACAUCGACGGAGGGGUUUGGCACCUCGAUGUCGGCUCGUCGCAUCCUGGGGCUGAAGAAGGUCCCAAGGGUUAGGCUGUUCGCCUAUUAAAGCGGCACGCGAGCUGGGUUCAGAACGUCGUGAGACAGUUCGGUCUCCUAUCCGCUGUGGGCGUUGAUAAUUGAGAGAGCACAUCUCUAGUACGAGAGGACCGAGAUGUACCGAUCUCUUGUGUACCAGUUGUCCUGCCAAGGGCAUUGCUGGGUAGCUACAUCGGGCCUAGAUAAGCGCUGAAAGCAUAUAAGCGCGAAGCUAUUCUCAAGAUUAAUUAUCAUAGACACGUUCGAGACGAGGACGUUGAUAGGCUCUAGGUAUACGCGUAGCAAUACGUUUAGCCGAGGAGUACUAAUAAGUCAUCGCUUUACUA